UCCUCACUGCUGCAGAGAGUCCUGCAUGUCCAGGGGAAGCAAAGACAGUGGAAGUUAUUAGAGCUACCCAUCACAGUCCAUUCUUUGCCUUCUGCCUUAGGGCUGUAAGAUGGAGAAGGAAUCACAUCCAUAAGAGUACUCAUAUGCUGCAUUUCCAUCAUUCAGCAUGAUUACAGCUGGUUGUCCCAGGAAGGAGACAUAGGAUUAUAGCGAUGUCUCAUAUGUCACUGCCUUGUCACAUCCAAAUAGACACUAAAAUAUAUAAGGUUAGCAUCAGCCCCAUGCUGACACAGACACUCCAGACAGCAGCCUGGAUAUGACAUCUAAGAUGAGGACAUGGCCUAGCACUUUUCCAAGAAGAUUGCUCUUCUCCUUCCCUAUGUAACCCCUAAACAAUAUGGAAACACCAGUGCAAUUGCACUUAAACUCAUGCCUUUAAUGUAUGUAUCAUAGUAUGAGAGUAAUUGUCUAUGUAAAUACAUUUUUCAUAUGUGUAAAGAUACCAACCAAGUUAUUGGUGCCAAGAAUUGUCAUGCACUAUUUCAGCAUAGAAGCAAUAUCAUUAGGAAGGUCUACCACAGCAGCCUUCUUCUAAGAACUUGGUUUGCACACUGAACUGUCUGAUGACUUUGAGGACCAAAUUCUGAGUUGGAUAAGUAAA
Long non-coding RNA from Rhineura floridana, 661 nucleotides. RefSeq lists it as uncharacterized. Lineage: Eukaryota; Metazoa; Chordata; Lepidosauria; Squamata; Rhineuridae. The transcript has 3 exons. The record is from RefSeq and is a predicted model, not a curated record.